RNAcentral lists this ribosomal RNA (231 nucleotides) under uncultured bacterium. RNAcentral's name for it is "partial 16S ribosomal RNA". It matches the Rfam family "Bacterial small subunit ribosomal RNA", at positions 116 to 334 of the family's 1533-position model. The record is from RNAcentral.
CGUGAGCGACCUGCCAUACCUGUGGGGGAUAGCCGGCCCAACGGCCGGGUAAUACCGCAUACGAUCGUUUUGGGGCAUCCCUGGACGACGAAAGCUCGGGGGUAACCCAGAGCGCAGGAUGAGGGGCUCGCGGCCUAUCAGCUAGUUGGCGGGGUAAUGGCCCACCAAGGCAAUGAUCUGUAUCCGGCCUGAGAGGGCGCACGGACACACUGGAACUGAAACACGGUCCAG